GACGAACGCUGGCGGCGUGCCUAAUGCAUGCAAGUCGCACGCUCCUCCUUCGGGAGGGGAGUGGCGAACGGCUGAGGAACACGUGCGAACCUAUCCCGCUGUGGGGGACAACCCGGCGAAAGCCGGGCUAAUCCCGCAUACGCUCCAACGAGGAAAGCGUGGCAACACGCGCAGCGGAGUGGGCGCGCGGCCCAUCAGGUUGUUGGCGGGGUAACGGCCCACCAAGCCCGUGACGGGUCGCNGGUCUGUGAGGACGACCAGCCAGACUGGGACUGAGAAACGGCCCAGACUCCUACGGGAGGCAGCAGCAAGGAAUUUUCGGCAAUGGGCGCAAGCCUGACCGAGCAACGCCGCGUGCAGGAUGACGGCCUU
RNAcentral lists this ribosomal RNA (372 nucleotides) under uncultured bacterium. RNAcentral describes it as "bacterial SSU rRNA". It matches the Rfam family "Bacterial small subunit ribosomal RNA", at positions 28 to 418 of the family's 1533-position model. The record is from RNAcentral.